This 125-nucleotide ribosomal RNA is filed under the name Rhizoclosmatium sp. Its description in RNAcentral is "partial small subunit ribosomal RNA". It matches the Rfam family "Eukaryotic small subunit ribosomal RNA", at positions 1657 to 1779 of the family's 1831-position model. Lineage: Eukaryota; Fungi; Chytridiomycota; Chytridiomycetes; Chytridiales; Chytriomycetaceae. The record is from RNAcentral.
CCUUUGUACACACCGCCCGUCGCUACUACCGAUUGAAUGGCUUAGUGAGACCUCCGGAUUGACGGUUUUUGGGCCGCAAGGCCUGAUGAUUGUUGAGAAGCUGGUCAAACUUGGUCAUUUAGAGG